Molecule: long non-coding RNA, 324 nt
Organism: Lemur catta (Ring-tailed lemur)
Lineage: Eukaryota; Metazoa; Chordata; Mammalia; Primates; Lemuridae
Exons: 3
Source: RefSeq, a predicted model, not a curated record
UCCUCUCCAUUAAUUCUCUGCCUUUGGAUGUUUUUCUUCUCUGACAACAGUUUCUGACAGCUGAAGGGUGGGGAGAGGAGAAAUUGCUUUCAUCUAGUCUUGGGACCUGAAGAACUCCUGACCCUGAGCCUGUAGGGGUGAAAAGGUAAUGAUACAGAUGCUCCUAUAUCAAAAGUUCCUGCGAGGACUGAGUAUUGAAAAGAGCCUGGCACCUUCCUCCCCUCUCUCUCUUGCUUGCCAUGUGACACACCGGCUCCCCUUCACCAUCCACCGUGAAUGGAAGCUUCUUAAGGUCCUCACCAGAAGCAGGUGUUGACUCCAUGC